Molecule: ribosomal RNA, 482 nt
Filed under: uncultured bacterium
Lineage: Bacteria
Description: partial 16S ribosomal RNA
Rfam family: Bacterial small subunit ribosomal RNA
Source: RNAcentral
AUUGAACGCUGGCGGCAUGCCUUACACAUGCAAGUCGAACGGUAACAGGUCUUCGGCUGCUGACGAGUGGCGAACGGGUGGGUAAUACAUCGGAACGUGCUCAGACGUGGGGGAUAACGAGGCGAAAGCUUUGCUAAUACCGCAUACGAGCUAAGGAUGAAAGCCGGGGACUGCAAGGCCUUGCGCGUUUGGAGCGGCCGAGGGCAGAGUAGGUAGUUGGGGGGAUCAAAGCUUACUAAGCUGACGAUCUGUAGCUGGUCUGAGAGGAAGACCAGCCACAUUGGGACUGAGACACGGCCCAGACUCCGGCGCGGAGCAGCAGUGGAGAAUCCUAGAGGAGGCAGCAAAGCCGGAUCCAGGAAUGCGGGGUGAAGGAUGAACCAGUUCGGGUGCUAGAGUGCUGAAGGCCGUAGGGUAGUGGAUCUGGCUAAUCCGUGACGAUAAUGACGGUACCGGAAGAAUAAGCCCCGGCUAACUACGUG